UGAGGAAUAUUGGUCAAUGGGCGUAAGCCUGAACCAGCCAAGUCGCGUGAGGGAUGAAGGUUCUAUGGAUCGUAAACCUCUUUUAUAAGGGAAUAAAGUGUGGGACGUGUCCCGUUUUGUAUGUACCUUAUGAAUAAGGAUCGGCUAACUCCGUGCCAGCAGCCGCGGUAAUACGGAGGAUCCGAGCGUUAUCCGGAUUUAUUGGGUUUAAAGGGUGCGUAGGCGGCCUUUUAAGUCAGCGGUGAAAGUCUGUGGCUCAACCAUAGAAUUGCCGUUGAAACUGGGGGGCUUGAGUAUGUUUGAGGCAGGCGGAAUGCGUGGUGUAGCGGUGAAAUGCUUAGAUAUCAUGAAGAACUCCGAUCGCGAAGGCAAGUGCCCGGGGGUGCAACUGACGCUGAGGCUCGAAGGUGCGGGUAUCGAACAGGAUUAGAUACCC
This 436-nucleotide ribosomal RNA is filed under the name uncultured bacterium. RNAcentral describes it as "bacterial SSU rRNA". It matches the Rfam family "Bacterial small subunit ribosomal RNA", at positions 355 to 787 of the family's 1533-position model. The record is from RNAcentral.